GAAAGCAUAUAAGCGCGAAACCCACCACAAGAUGAGAUUUCUUUAAAGGGUCGUGAGAGACGAUCACGUUGAUAGGCUAUAGGUGUAAAGGCAGUAAUGUCAUAGCCGAGUAGUACUAAUAACCCGUAUAGCUUAUGCAAU
This 141-nucleotide ribosomal RNA is filed under the name Cytophagales bacterium. RNAcentral describes it as "partial 23S ribosomal RNA". It matches the Rfam family "Bacterial large subunit ribosomal RNA", at positions 2773 to 2925 of the family's 2925-position model. Lineage: Bacteria; Pseudomonadati; Bacteroidota; Cytophagia; Cytophagales. The record is from RNAcentral.